GACGAACGCUGGCGGCGUGCUUAACACAUGCAAGUCGAACGGAAAGGCCCUGCUUUUGUGGGGUGCUCGAGUGGCGAACGGGUGAGUAACACGUGAGUAACCUGCCCUUGACUUUGGGAUAACUUCAGGAAACUGGGGCUAAUACCGGAUAGGAGCUCCUGCUGCAUGGUGGGGGUUGGAAAGUUUCGGCGGUUGGGGAUGGACUCGCGGCUUAUCAGCUUGUUGGUGGGGUAGUGGCUUACCAAGGCUUUGGCGGGUAGCCGGCCUGAGAGGGUGACCAGCCACACUGGAACGGGGGCACGGUCCAGACUCCUAAGGGAGGCAGCAGUGGGGCAGAUUGCACAAUGGGCGCGAGCCUGAUGCAGCCAUGCCGCGUGUAUGAAGAAGGCCUUCGGGUUGUAAAGGACGUUGAGCGGGGAGGAAGGGAGUAAAGUUAAUACCUUUGCUCAUUGACGUGACACGCAGAAGAAGCACCGGCUAACUCCGUG
RNAcentral lists this ribosomal RNA (488 nucleotides) under uncultured bacterium. Its description in RNAcentral is "partial 16S ribosomal RNA". It matches the Rfam family "Bacterial small subunit ribosomal RNA", at positions 28 to 507 of the family's 1533-position model. The record is from RNAcentral.